AGGCCCUGCUCCAGGAGUUCUCCUGUCUGGACUGGUAAAGAGGCUCCUCGAGUUUCCAUCGCUGCUCAAAGUGUGCAAGUCACAGAACUGAAUUUCUUGCCACCUUUUUUCAUUUAAUGCCUGAGCUGGAGCCUUUGGACAAAGCAGCUGCAUGGUCUGGCCCUGGUACCUGAGGGCUCCCUGAAUGGCUCCUUCUCAGGCAGCAGGGGUUUGGUGAUUUUCCUUGUCAGAAAGCCUGUCUGUGCAAGGUAAUUCUCUGCUUGUCUGAAAGGCAAGGAAAGGGCCAGCACUGAUGUCUUCUCUCCCUUCCAUCCCUUGUAGGUCAACAGGAACAGCUUCAAAUGCCAAUUCUUACUACUGCCUCUGCAAGCUUGAGAGUAAGAAGUCCUCUCUCCAGGGAAAUUGCAGGUAAGGCUGGAGCUGCUGGGAGAGGCUGAGCAGAGGAGAGAGCAUUGUCUGCACAGGGGUGUAAGGAGAGAGCUGCUGGGACAAGGAGCUCACCCUGAGUGAGGUAACUCCCACUCCUCACUGACUCCAGACUCAGCUGGUCCUACAGCUGAGCUGUCGCAGCCAGUGACUCCAGGGGAAGAUGGCAAAGCCUCCAUGCAAAAACCCAAAUUUCAGAAGUGAAGCCAAACCUGUUGAUUUAUUAUUUUUUUUCCAAUAAUCCAAUGUUUUCUGUGACUGUACAUUGAAGUAUCUCUUCAAAUAAUUAAAUGUAUGCAAAAACAUCAAGUUCUGCCCAUAAUAAUUUCAAUGUUGGUGACAGCAGCAUUGGAAGGAAGGGAAGCUCAUAAAGGAGUGUACCUAAGGUUUAACUUUUCCAAGCAGCUUAAAUGUUCUAUUAGAGCAGUUUGCCUGGGGCUUGGUGAAGAAAGGCCGAAAGAAGAGGAAUCAAAUAAUUCCAACAAAGGGGCACAUCAACACAAAGCAGCAGGUUAUACAAGCAGCAAAGAAUGUCCACUGUUGAGAAAAGGGCAUUUGGAUUCCACAUGGAAGAACACAAGAGGGAGUGGCAGACUAGGAAUGAGAAUCCUGCUGUUAGGGAAAUUGAUAUUAGCACUGACACCUUCUCAAAAUGCUUCCAAGGGUGAAAAUGAACCAUCAACAUCACAGCUAUGGGAAGGUGUAAGUAGCACUGGCUGCCAGGUUGAUAUGCAAAUGUGUGUAUUCCUGUAUCUCUGUAAUGCAAAAUGUUUGAAGAAAAAAGUGUUGUUGCUACUGAGAAUAUCCUUCUCAACCUCUUUACACAAGUAAUAAAAUACUGCAAAAGCUGUGCUGGCCCAUUUCCUGGAAAUGCCAAUUUCUGUUUGUUGGUAGAGGUAGGCAAGAGAGCUUCUGACAAAUAUCUAAGUACAACAUGUUCAGCAGAGACUUUCACCUGCCUCUGACUUCCAGGCUGAGAAGUGCAAAUCAUGUGUGACAUGUCUAGGGAGGAGGGAAUCAACCAUCAGUCAUCAGCUGAAAAGCCACAGAACAAGAUGUUUACUCCCAUUUUCGUUUCUUUGGUUACUGGUUUAUUUUUUUUUUUUAGUAUGAAAGUGACUACUUUUGUAACAACAAUGUUUGCUUAAUAAACCAAUUUGCUUUUUUGCUGCA
RNAcentral lists this long non-coding RNA (1599 nucleotides) under Serinus canaria (Common canary). RNAcentral describes it as "lncRNA (ENSSCAG00000014971.1)". The record is from RNAcentral. Lineage: Eukaryota; Metazoa; Chordata; Aves; Passeriformes; Fringillidae.